AUACGGAGGGUGCAAGCGUUAUCCGGAUUUAUUGGGUUUAAAGGGUCCGUAGGCGGAUCUGUAAGUCAGUGAUGAAAUCUCAUAGCUUAACUAUGAAACUGCCAUUGAUACUGCAGGUCUUGAGUAAGGUAGAAGUAGCUGGAAUAAGUAGUGUAGCGGUGAAAUGCAUAGAUAUUACUUAGAACACCAAUUGCGAAGGCAGGUUACUAUGUCUUAACUGACGCUGAUGGACGAAAGCGUGGGGAGCGAACAGGAUUAGAAACCCUAGUAGUCC
Molecule: ribosomal RNA, 274 nt
Filed under: uncultured bacterium
Lineage: Bacteria
Description: partial 16S ribosomal RNA
Rfam family: Bacterial small subunit ribosomal RNA
Source: RNAcentral